AGCAGCCGCGGUAAUUCCAGCUCCAAUAGCGUAUAUUAAAGUUGUUGCAGUUAAAAAGCUCGUAGUUGAAUUUCGGGAUCAGUACGCUGGUCGUGCCUUCGGUAUGUACUGGUGUUACUGGUUCCUACCUUCUGACGAACCGUCAUGUCAUUAAUUUGGUGUGGCGGGGAAUCAGGACUGUUACUUUGAAAAAAUUGAGUGUUUAAAGCAGGCUCGCGCUUGAAUACAUUAGCAUGGAAUAAUGAAAUAGGACGUUCGAUCCUAUUUUGUUGGUUUCUAGGAUUGACGUAAUGAUUAAUAGGGAUAGUUGGGGGCAUUAGUAUUCAAUUGUCAGAGGUGAAAUUCUUGGAUUUAUUGAAGACUAACUACUGCGAAAGCAUUUGCCAAGGAUGUUUUCAUUAAUCAAGAACGAAAGUUAGGGAUCGAAGACGAUCAGAUACCGUCGUAGUCUUAACCAUAAACUAUAGCCGACUAGGGAUCGGAUGAUGUUAAUUUUUAAUGGCUCAUUCGGCNCCUUAAC
RNAcentral lists this ribosomal RNA (520 nucleotides) under uncultured Glomus. Its description in RNAcentral is "SSU rRNA". It matches the Rfam family "Eukaryotic small subunit ribosomal RNA", at positions 569 to 1092 of the family's 1831-position model. The record is from RNAcentral. Lineage: Eukaryota; Fungi; Glomeromycota; Glomeromycetes; Glomerales; Glomeraceae.